Octopus sinensis (East Asian common octopus) is the source of this 310-nucleotide long non-coding RNA. RefSeq lists it as uncharacterized. Lineage: Eukaryota; Metazoa; Mollusca; Cephalopoda; Octopoda; Octopodidae. The transcript is spliced from 3 exons. The record is from RefSeq and is a predicted model, not a curated record.
AAUUUACUGUCUUAUAUAUGUGUAUGAUCAUUAUUUCUUUGCUUUUUCUUGGCAGCAAGUCACUGGAUCUGCACACAUGGUCAAACACAAACCAAUUGACAUGUCUUGUACCAUUUAACCUUUCCUCAUUUCCCCUUUGGAAUAUUUUUUAUUAAACAUUAUUGCAGCUAUUAAUUUUAUAUCUGGUGCCUCAUUCUUCUUUUCCGUUUUUCUUUGUCCUGACCCCCCCCCCCCCACCAAGGAGCCAAAUCUUUUACUAUCUCUGGUUUGUUUUGAUUUUUCUCUUCACUUUUUAUUUUAAUCUGUCCCC